Selaginella moellendorffii is the source of this 452-nucleotide long non-coding RNA. RefSeq lists it as uncharacterized. The record is from RefSeq and is a predicted model, not a curated record. The transcript is spliced from 3 exons. NCBI's taxonomy places the organism in Eukaryota, Viridiplantae, Streptophyta, Lycopodiopsida, Selaginellales, Selaginellaceae.
GUGGCUCAUAGGACGAUGAUUUGGAGUUGGAUACAAAGUGACAAUCAAUGUGUUGGUGGUGGAAUGGCUGUUGCUGUUCUUGCAGCUCCACUGUGCUCUGUCGUCUCUCGGAGACACUGCUGCCCUUUCUACUGCUCUGAGAGCCAGCACAGACGAACAAGGACUUCAUUCUCCCCGCCCAGCCUGUAAAAGCUAAAGUUUGAUCACAAAAACCAUGCCACGAGUUUAAUCAAAGACGAGUACAUUGUGUUGGAGUGCUUCGCUCAAAGAAGAUCUACUCGCGGUGUAAGCAUAGAAGUGAAAGUACUUUGCGGACAAACUUAAACAUCCUUUCAAUCCAUAGCUUUGCUUCUCAGGUGGAAGAAGUAUAGAAGCUAUUGGAGAUCAAAAGUUCUUUACGGACACACUUAAAAAAUUCUAACGAGAAGCUCCUCUCUUUGAUUUGUGCUCUA